Molecule: long non-coding RNA, 1729 nt
Filed under: Homo sapiens (human)
Lineage: Eukaryota; Metazoa; Chordata; Mammalia; Primates; Hominidae
Description: long intergenic non-protein coding RNA 1010
Source: RNAcentral
GAGAGAACGGAUCUGUAGUUCUAGCCUCAAGGAGUUACUGUUUAGCAUUAGAGGCAAAAUGAAAAAGUACUCAUUGUUUCUGCCCAUGUUUGCAAAAAGGGGACAAGUUAUUGGUCCCCAAAGUAAAUGAGAUAAUGAGAAAAAACUUCAGGGAAAAAACUGAGAAUACUAUAGCUGAUUAACUUACUGUUUAGUUCUCUUAAAAAUAUCUACCUUCUUAUCAUUAUAAUUCUGGAAUGAAAAUCAGGAGGACUGCCUAGUACUGCCAAUUCUGACAGUGAUCUGGCUGGAGUGCAGUGGUGCACACGCCUCACACUGUGACACAGCGGGAGAGCCCAGAGCGACAGCUGUUGGAAUGACUGCACUCUUCCUGCUCAAGUCUGACCUUUCCAAGGGUCUCACUCUGUCACCCAGGUUGGAGUAAAGUGGUAUGAUCAUGGCUCACUGCAGCCUCGAACUCCUGGGCUCAAGCAAUCCUCCUGCCUCAGCCUCCUGAGUAGCUGGGACUACAGCCUUUGUCCUAUGUCUGGAGACUUCUUGGAAGCUGGAGCACACAAAUAGCUACAGCAAACUUGAGGAAUGGGCAUGAAUAGACUGGCUUCGGGGAACCUGCCAGCUUGGCCGUGUGGCCAAGGUAAUAGGCAAGCCAAGGCAGAGCUAGAGCUCAGAGCUGGAGGGGAAAUUAAAGCAGCAAAUGUAGAAACAUUAAGCCUGAAGAGGCGACGACGUUGAAUUCUAAAAUGCAGGCCAAAGCUCAGACUGCAAGCUGUCUGGCUGCUCCGGGUGUGCCCAGAAGUCAAAGUCCAGCAGGGGCAAAGGUGGAGGUGUGGUCCUGCACGUGGGGUGUUGGGGGGAUGUGGAAGAGGAGGUGCUUUAAGAUCCAGAGAUUCCAGCUGCCCUGGUGCACCCUUGGAAGAAUAAAAGGCUAGGAACUGGACAAGUCAGGCUCGAGUCCAAGCUGCCUGAGGAAUCGGGGAAAGAAUGGAGCUCAGAGUGGGAGGUCAGGGCAGUAUUUAAAAAUCCAGGAUAGCAGCAAAGCUGGCGGUGGCCCCUGACUCUGGUAAGGGCAGCCUGCAGCACCAUGCCAAGGGGGGCCUGACUGAUCAUGCCCUGCAUUUGCAAACAAGGAUUAGUAGGGUAUGAGUAGGAUUCUGCUGGUGCCUGGGAAGGCAGUGCCAUCUACAACUUUACAAAGUUUUAACAAAGGCCUGAAGGACACAACCUUCCCCAAAGUCCUGACGUCGCUGUUUGCUGGCAACAAAUAGAGUCAAAAGAAGAGAGGCACAGAAUGUGCCAGGGGUGUGCUGCGUACAGCCCCGAUGACCACAAGGCCUUCUUGGGUCAAGUUCUGCCAUCUCUGGUUAAGAUGGGCUCACCCUCUAGGACCCUGAUUGAGUCCUCGGACCACCAAGAGUGCCCCACCAAGAGCCUCCCUCUUCUGGUGACUCGUGCCUGCUUCCCGUGGAGAGCUCCAGAAGGGAGGAAACUGUGAGGAGGUGGAGAACGUGGCAGGGAUCCUAACUUUCUUACUGAAGGAAGUUCUUCACAAGUACCCAUCUGCCUUCAGGGAAGAAAACAUAACUCAUUUUGGUCUUUCAAAUUCAGUUCUCAAAACCAAAUCCUGUUGUCAGCAAUCUGUGUCCCAACGCCUUCUUCAGCAACAGCAUUUUCCCUGUGGAAUUAGUUUCCAAUGUUCUUUCUUAAAUAAACCACUGAAGAUUAAAAGGAA